UACGAAGGGGGCUAGCGUUGCUCGGAAUCACUGGGCGUAAAGGGUGCGUAGGCGGGUCUUUAAGUCAGGGGUGAAAUCCUGGAGCUCAACUCCAGAACUGCCUUUGAUACUGAAGGUCUUGAGUAUGGGAGAGGUGAGUGGAACUGCGAGUGUAGAGGUGAAAUUCGUAGAUAUUAGGAAGAACACCAGUGGCGAAGGCGGCUCACUGGCCCGGUACUGACGCUGAGGCGCGAAAGCGUGGGGAGCAAACAGG
RNAcentral lists this ribosomal RNA (253 nucleotides) under uncultured bacterium. RNAcentral describes it as "partial 16S ribosomal RNA". It matches the Rfam family "Bacterial small subunit ribosomal RNA", at positions 524 to 776 of the family's 1533-position model. The record is from RNAcentral.